RNAcentral lists this ribosomal RNA (775 nucleotides) under uncultured Neocallimastigales. RNAcentral's name for it is "partial large subunit ribosomal RNA". It matches the Rfam family "Eukaryotic large subunit ribosomal RNA", at positions 26 to 618 of the family's 3401-position model. Lineage: Eukaryota; Fungi; Neocallimastigomycota; Neocallimastigomycetes; Neocallimastigales. The record is from RNAcentral.
CGUCUAUAUACGUAUAGCAUAUCAAUAAGCGGAGGAAAAGAAACUAACAAGGAUUCCCUUAGUAACGGCGAGUGAAGCGGGAAGAGCUCAAAUUUGAAAUCUUCAAGGUUCUACCUUGACGAAUUGUAGUUUAAAGAAGUGUUUUCUGUUAGAGGAGUAGCAAAAGUCCCUUGGAAUGGGACAUCAUAGAGGGUGAGAAUCCCGUACUUGGUUAUUCUUUCUAGCUUUGUGAUACACUUUCAAAGAGUCGGAUUGUUUGGGAAUGCAGUCCAAAAUGGGUGGUAAAUUUCAUCUAAAGCUAAAUAUUGGCGAGAGACCGAUAGCGAACAAGUACCGUGAGGGAAAGAUGAAAAGAACUUUGAAAAGAGAGUUAAACAGUACGUGAAAUUGUCAAAAGGGAAGCGUUUGACACCAGUGUUGUUUUUCCGAAAAUCAAUUAAGAGUGGCUUGAUUUUGUGUUGUAUUGACCUUAUCAGCUUUCUUCACUCUUUUUCGAGUCUUUCUUAAUGCACUUUUCGGUUAACAAGUCAACAUCAAUUUCUUUUGUUGUAAAAGGGUAUUUGGAAGGUGGCUUUCUUUUCGGAGAAAGUGUUUAUAGCCUUAUACCUCUACAAUCGGAGAGAUUGAGGUCUGCAGCGUAGAUCCUUCGGGGCUAGAUACACUUGUGCUAAGUUAUAGCUUUUCAUAGACAACUUGUUGACUAUGUUUAGUCAUGUAGCUUACCCGCUUGUGCUAUUUUACCUACGCUUAGGAUGUUGAGUCAUCACACAUCUCU